GAUGAUGUUAAAUAGAAACAGAUGGGUUGAAAAUGGAAGGAUUUGUCAUAAUUACGACUAUUACCUUUAUUUUUUAAAAAUGGGCAUUUUGUAACAUUCCUUCAGGAAGAAUGGAAGUGUGUAUGUUUUUCUGCAUGUGUGUGAGCACUGUGAGUCUUACAAGAUUACUGCAGUUUUCAGUGAUUUUCAGAGUAAAAGUCAAUCAACAUGUUAUUUAUCAUUUAGGACUUGAACACUGGAUUGUGCAUGGUUGAAUGUCUUUAGUCCACUACAAAAUGUGCUUGAUAUUGAUAGAAUCAUGCUGAAUUGUAUAUUUUCAAAAUUAGCUCAUGUGUUUUUAAAAUGUUGAGACCAAAGUAGUAUAGAAGAGUAUGACGUAUUUUAAUUUAAUUGUAAAAUUAUUAGAGGUAUUUGUUUUAAAACUAUAUUAAAGAAAAGUGUUGGUGCAUAUAGAACAGUACCAUUAUUGUUAUGCUCGUAUUUCUGCAUCCCAGGGCAAGUAAACCCUGAGGAACCCUUGUCUUCGAGUAGCUACUGGGGCUGCAGCUGCUCCCGAGGAUGCACCAGCGUCCCACUAUGAUUACAGCUUCCUGGUUCAUGUUUCAGCUGUUGCAGAAUUUCAGCCAAGUUACUUUUUUUCCUUAAGUACGUUGAAAAAGCUUUUUUUUUUCCUUCUUCGGUAACUCACAGUCUGUUCUUUGUGGCCAGCACCUAUUUAUAAAGUCUUAAGUAACACUACUUAAAGGAGCCAAACACAGAGCUCUUCUUGGUACUGUUAAGCAUGAGUAGCAGUAGUUGGCUUUCAUUGAUGCAAUUCUCCUAUCUCAGAAUUUUAAAUAAUGACCAUAGGAAAAGUCAGUGGCAAGUGUACAGUAGUCUUCUUGUGUACUAAGGAAAUGAAUGAAUUUUAAUCUAAUAAAUGGAUGAUUUGUGGAUUAAAACUAGGCAGUAAAUAUAAAGGGUAUUUGUUUGACUUGUAACUUACAAAUGUAAAUUUCCCUUAGCCCCAGUUUUCAAUUUUUUUUUUCUUAAAUAUUUCAAAAUGAGUUGACUUGGUGAUUCAUGACCUUGGUUGCAUGUUAGAAUGCCCUGCAGAUCUUAAAACUCAUCUAGGUCCCUUCACAUACAGCUGAUUCAUAAUCAUUUCUUUGUGAUUGACAUUUCAUAUGACAGUGUCUACCCUCUAUUGUCUUCAGAGGCUCAUUCUGACACCCAAGCUUCAGAAGCACUAGCCCAUGGACUUUCUGAUUAUACUGGACUCUGUUUGAAAGUACAUUUAAUCUGAAGCUAUUUAACGAUUGAUUCUACUCCUUAGUAUCUUUUUAUGGGCUUAAGAAGUAUUUGGCAGUCCUUUUUUUUUUUUUUUUGGAGAAUCUCUACAUAGUUCUGGCUGUCCUGGAGCUCUCUCUGUAAACCAUGCUGGCUUUUGUAUUCCCUUUUCUUGUUCUUUAAAAAAUAAGACCUACCAGUAAUUCAAUUGUAAAAUCUUAUUAGUGUUUCUCCUUCUGUCCCCUUUACCUUUAAAAAAAAUUGCAGGUUAUCAUUUGAAAGAGCAUGUUUAAGCAUCGCCGAUGUGAAAGCACUAUGAGGAAUGAAUCUGUGCCGUCUAGAUAUGGCUCCUUUAUCAUUACUGUUCUACUACAUGGAUGGAGUCCUGUUCUGUAGGGUCUCACUUUUUAAGAUCAUCUUCCUGUUGUAAAAGUUUAAGGCAUUUUGCUCAAGUACUUUGUUUACAAUUAAAAUGAAUAGAACUUAAUAGAAGAUAAGGUUAUGGCUUACUGGAAAGCAUCAGCAUGACUUGGUAUAGACUUAAAAGAGUACAUGUGAUUAUACUGUGGAAUGAUUAUUGAUAUAUAAGGACUCUAGUAAUUGUACCUCCUGAAUAAAUGUCCGUUUGCGCAUUUUCUAACUUACAGUCCAUUGUCUGUUCUGGCAACAAUCUCGCUUUGUAGUUUUACUCUCCAAAAUUCAUGAGUAGUGUUUCUUCAAAGGUUGUUGAAGUAAUAAUAGUUACAUAAUGGGGGAAAGUCAUUUGAUUAUUAAUUUUCAAGAAGUUUUAAACUAAUUUGUAACUGGACGUGGUUUUUAAAAAUAUUGGCAAAGAUUUGAUACACUUGUACUCUUUUUAGUUUGAGAAAAUUAUUUGGAAUGUGAAACAGUGCUUUUUCAAUAGAUGAAUCAUUUAGCAAUUAAAUUCUGACUCUAAGGCUUAUUUAAAAUAUAUUUGUAUGAGUCGUGUUUGUCCUUUGCAUUUGACAAAAUUGAUACAAUUACAAGUUGAACGCUGUAUGUAAAAUAACCGUUACAUAAAGUAAAAAGCAAACUCCGUGGUGGUUCCUGAAAUGAGACUUCAGAUUUCUGUAUUUUGUUUGCCUUUCAUAAACUAUAACUAAACCAA
RNAcentral lists this long non-coding RNA (2398 nucleotides) under Rattus norvegicus (Norway rat). RNAcentral describes it as "long non-coding RNA NONRATT018437". Lineage: Eukaryota; Metazoa; Chordata; Mammalia; Rodentia; Muridae. The record is from RNAcentral.